RNAcentral lists this ribosomal RNA (253 nucleotides) under uncultured bacterium. Its description in RNAcentral is "partial 16S ribosomal RNA". It matches the Rfam family "Bacterial small subunit ribosomal RNA", at positions 524 to 776 of the family's 1533-position model. The record is from RNAcentral.
UACGUAGGGCGCGAGCGUUGUCCGGAUUUAUUGGGCGUAAAGAGCUCGUAGGCGGCUUGUCGCGUCGACUGUGAAAACCCGCGGCUUAACUGCGGGCCUGCAGUUGAUACGGGCAGGCUAGAGUUCGGUAGGGGAGACUGGAAUUCCUGGUGUAGCGGUGAAAUGCGUAGAUAUCUGGAGGAAUACCGGUGGCGAAGGCGGCAUCCUGGACCGGCAUUGACGCUGAAGCGCGAAAGCUAGGGGAGCAAACGGG